UGUCACCUCCUAGAUUUAUGGAAUAAGAGAUGGAGAAGCAGCAAACAGAAAUGUAUUUUUGACAAAUGGUUCAAGCAUGAGAGAGGAUCCACAUCCCCCAAUCCAUCUCUAGCUUUCUCAGCCAGAUCAACACGAAGCAACUGAUCAAGCACCACUCCAUUCUACAAAUUUGGGAUUAUAACUACAAUAAUGAGAAGAUGGGUGAACUCCAAAGGCUGUUAAUUCAUUCCUCAUCAAAGAUAAACCCGUCUAGUUUAAAAGUUUUAUAGUGUUAGUCAGUGGUUACCAGAUCAUAGACAAUUCAGAAAUGAUGGAAUCAAAUUUGGAAAAU
Non-coding RNA from Lactuca sativa (garden lettuce), 331 nucleotides. NCBI's taxonomy places the organism in Eukaryota, Viridiplantae, Streptophyta, Magnoliopsida, Asterales, Asteraceae. The record is from RefSeq and is a predicted model, not a curated record.